Long non-coding RNA from Suncus etruscus (white-toothed pygmy shrew), 296 nucleotides. RefSeq lists it as uncharacterized. Lineage: Eukaryota; Metazoa; Chordata; Mammalia; Eulipotyphla; Soricidae. The transcript is spliced from 4 exons. The record is from RefSeq and is a predicted model, not a curated record.
AAAUAGCCAUAGGCGGCCCCUCGCUCUCUCUCGGCCGUAGCGCCAUCUUCUUCGAAGCCUUCGCACCAUGCGAGCUAAGUGGAGGAAGAAGCGAAUGCGUAGGCUGAAGCGCAAAAGACGAAAGAUGAGGCAGAGGUCCAAGUAAACUUCCAGACUUGUGCACCGUGCAUGGAGGCCACAAGGAGCAGAAGCAAGAAAGGACUGAUGGGAGGCCCGGGGGUGUCGGUACAACUAAAACCCAACCAGCAUGCGCUUUCGAAUUCAUCUCUGCUGCAUCUGGACUCUGAAACAUCUGU